UGCCAGCAGCCUCGGUAAUACGAAGGGGGCUAGCGUUGUUCGGAUUUACUGGGCGUAAAGCGCAUGUAGGCUGUUUAUUUGGUCGGUGGUGAAAGCCUGGGGCUCAACCUCAGAACUGCCAUCGAUACCGGUAAACUAGAGUAUAAGAGAGGAUAGCGGAAUUCCGAGUGUAGAGGUGAAAUUCAUAGAUAUUCGGAGGAACACCAGUGGCGAAAGCGGCUAUCUGGCUUAUUACUGACGCUGAGAUGCGAAAGCGUGGGGAGCAAACAGGAUUAGAUA
Molecule: ribosomal RNA, 279 nt
Filed under: uncultured bacterium
Lineage: Bacteria
Description: partial 16S ribosomal RNA
Rfam family: Bacterial small subunit ribosomal RNA
Source: RNAcentral